This 253-nucleotide ribosomal RNA is filed under the name uncultured bacterium. Its description in RNAcentral is "partial 16S ribosomal RNA". It matches the Rfam family "Bacterial small subunit ribosomal RNA", at positions 524 to 776 of the family's 1533-position model. The record is from RNAcentral.
UACGGAGGGUGCGAGCGUUGUCCGGAAUCAUUGGGCGUAAAGGGCGCGUAGGUGGCGGGACAAGCGUGCGGUGAAAGCCUGGGGCUCAACCCCGGGUCGGCCGUGCGAACUGUUUUGCUUGAGCACUGUAGAGGCAGGCGGAAUUCCGGGUGUAGCGGUGGAAUGCGUAGAGAUCCGGAAGAACACUGGUGGCGAAGGCGGCCUGCUGGGCAGUAGCUGACACUGAGGCGCGACAGCGUGGGGAGCAAACAGG